UUAACCGUCAAGCCUGGCUUGUUGUUGGAUCUAUUUGUCUCUUAGGUGACACAGGUCUGAAAAAUAAUGAACGGUGUCAUGGUGGCCCUAUAUGCAAUGAGCUUUUGACAGCAUGCAUCUAGUGGUGUCUAGGCCCGCUCUUAACCAUUUAUUUUCUAA
Molecule: unclassified non-coding RNA, 159 nt
Filed under: uncultured Chaetothyriales
Lineage: Eukaryota; Fungi; Ascomycota; Eurotiomycetes; Chaetothyriales
Description: sequence contains ITS2
Source: RNAcentral